GCCUCGGUGGUCUAAUGGCUUAGAACGUAUGGAAUACAAGAGAUCCGGGUUCGACUCCCGGCCGAGAUA
This 69-nucleotide transfer RNA is filed under the name Mycetomoellerius zeteki. RNAcentral's name for it is "Trachymyrmex zeteki tRNA". It matches the Rfam family "tRNA". From Rfam's summary of the family: Transfer RNA (tRNA) molecules are approximately 80 nucleotides in length. Their secondary structure includes four short double-helical elements and three loops (D, anti-codon, and T loops). The record is from Rfam by way of RNAcentral. Lineage: Eukaryota; Metazoa; Arthropoda; Insecta; Hymenoptera; Formicidae.